This 442-nucleotide ribosomal RNA is filed under the name uncultured bacterium. RNAcentral's name for it is "partial 16S ribosomal RNA". It matches the Rfam family "Bacterial small subunit ribosomal RNA", at positions 338 to 795 of the family's 1533-position model. The record is from RNAcentral.
CCUACGGGGUGCAGCAGUAGGGAAUCUUUCACAAUGGGCGAAAGCCUGAUGGAGCAACGCCGCGUGCAGGAUGAAGGCCUUCGGGUUGUAAACUGCUUUUAUAAGCGAGAAAUAUGAUGGUAACUUAUGAAUAAGGAUCGGCUAACUACGUGCCAGCAGCCGCGGUCAUACGUAGGAUCCGAGCAUUAUCCGGAGUGACUGGGUGUAAAGAGUUGCGUAGGUGGCAUAAUAAGUAGCUAGUGAAAUCUGGUGGCUCAACCAUUCAGACUAUUAGCUAAACUGUUAAGCUCGAGACCGUUAGGGGUAACUGGAAUUUCUAGUGUAGGAGUGAAAUCCGUAGAUAUUAGAAGGAACACCAAUAGCGUAGGCAGGUUGCUGGGACGGUUCUGAGACUAAGGCACGAAAGCGUAGGGAGCAAACGGGAUUAGAUACCCUUGUAGUC